AAGGGCACCACAAGAACCGUGGAGCAUGUGGCUUAAUUUGACUCAACGCGGGAAAUCUUACCGGGUCCGGACACACUGAGGAUUGACAGGCAAUAUUAAUAUUUUUCUGUUUACAGUAAUUUAUUAUGUUAAAUAUGCUAGUCCUUUCAUGAUUAUGUGAUAGGUGGUGCAUGGCCGUUCUUAGUUCGUGGAGUGAUCUGUCUGCUUAAUUGCGUUUCACUAAGGGCCUAUAAUUUACGUGUGUUGCGGCACUUUGACCCCUCAUUUUUUUUUUAAUUAAAAUUUAUGAGCGCGCGUCUUAGUUUGUUUAGCUCACACAAUUAGGUCCUGAAAGCAACGAACGUGACCGCAACCUCUUGUUGCCUUUAUACCAAACAUGAGUUUAAUUCUCUUCGGAGGGUUUUCAUGAAAAAAGGCUUUUUAAACUAGAGGGACCGCUGUUACUUUCUUAAACCAGAGGAAGGUUGCGGCAAUAACAGGUCUGUGAUGCCCUUAGAUGUUCCGGGCUGCACACGUGCUACAAUGAUUAUUGCAGUGAGCAUCUCAUUUUUUACACACCGCAUACGCGAGUCUAUUUAUUCACUUUCGGGUGCUUUAAAUGUGAUCUCUGCGAGCGGUAAAGCCUGCUUCGAAAGUAAGUGGGUAAUCAAUUAGAAGUAAUGAUUUCCUUUUUUUUAGCACACAUAUAUACGGCGUUUAUACCCGGGCUGCACUUGUUGUAGCUUUUGUGCGUAUAGAUGUUUUUUCCGUAUGUGCGAUUGUCAAUUCAUGGUGGGGACAGACCAUUGUUAAUUGUUGGUCUCGGUCUUAACUAGGAAUGCCUUGUACGGGUCUUUGGUUCAACAAACCACCCGGAAUACGUCCCUGCCCUUUGUACACACCGCCCGUCGCUCUUACCGAUGGACUUCUCUGUGAGUUUGAGGGACUGGGAACGCAGAUUUUAAUCUGCACACCUAUGGAAACUUAAACGAACAGUGUGGUCUAAAGGAAAGAGAAGUCGUAACAAGGCAUCGGUAGGUGAACCUGCAGAAGGAUCA
Molecule: ribosomal RNA, 1037 nt
Filed under: Epistominella sp. 1 BBL-2009
Lineage: Eukaryota; Foraminifera; Rotaliida; Pseudoparrellidae
Description: SSU rRNA
Rfam family: Eukaryotic small subunit ribosomal RNA
Source: RNAcentral